UACGAAGGGGGCUAGCGUUGUUCGGAAUCACUGGGCGUAAAGGGCGCGUAGGCGGCUUUUUAAGGGUGCGGUGAAAGCCCGGGGCUUAACCCCGGGUCGGCCGUGCCGACUGAAAAGCUGGAGCACUGUAGAGGCAGGUGGAAUUCCGGGUGUAGCGGUGGAAUGCGUAGAGAUCCGGAAGAACACCAGUGGCGAAGGCGGCUCACUGGUCCGGUACUGACGCUGAGGUGCGAAAGCGUGGGGAGCAAACAGG
Molecule: ribosomal RNA, 253 nt
Filed under: uncultured bacterium
Lineage: Bacteria
Description: partial 16S ribosomal RNA
Rfam family: Bacterial small subunit ribosomal RNA
Source: RNAcentral